RNAcentral lists this ribosomal RNA (559 nucleotides) under uncultured Campylobacterota bacterium. RNAcentral's name for it is "bacterial SSU rRNA". It matches the Rfam family "Bacterial small subunit ribosomal RNA", at positions 38 to 609 of the family's 1533-position model. Lineage: Bacteria; Pseudomonadati; Campylobacterota. The record is from RNAcentral.
GGCGGCGUGCCUACCAUGCAAGUCGAACGAGAACGGGUUAAAGCUUGCUUUAACUGUCAGCUAAGUGGCGCACGGGUGAGUGAUAUAUAGUUAACCUGCCCUCGAGAAAGGAAUAACAGUUGGAAACGACUGCUAAUGCCCUAUAUGCCUUUACGACAUAAGUCAGCAAGGGAAAUGCUUUUGUGCUCGAGGAUGGGACUGUAUGGUAUCAGAUAGUUGGUGGGGUAAUGGCCUACCAAGUCAAUGACGCCUAACUGGUUUGAGAGGAUGAUCAGUCACACUGGAACUGAGACACGGUCCAGACUCCUACGGGAGGCAGCAGUGGGGAAUAUUGCACAAUGGAGGAAACUCUGAUGCAGCAACGCCGCGUGGAGGAUGACACAUUUCGGUGCGUAAACUCCUUUUAUAUAGGAAGAUAAUGACGGUACUAUAUGAAUAAGCACCGGCUAACUCCGUGCCAGCAGCCGCGGUAAUACGGAGGUGCAAGCGUUACUCGGAAAUCACUGGGCGUAAAGAGCGUGUAGGCGGGUAAAUAAGUUUGAAGUGAAAUCCUAUAGCU